RNAcentral lists this long non-coding RNA (23512 nucleotides) under Solanum tuberosum (potato). RNAcentral describes it as "long non-coding RNA (STUB_LNC010104)". The stretch from base 9150 to 9373 matches the Rfam family "MIR8007 microRNA precursor family". Lineage: Eukaryota; Viridiplantae; Streptophyta; Magnoliopsida; Solanales; Solanaceae. The record is from RNAcentral.
GCUAAUGCACAACAACCCAAGCUUUUUGUUGGGAUGAUCCUCAUUCUCAUUUUCGCUGAAGCCUUGGCUCUUUAUGGGCUUAUUGUUGGCAUUAUCUUGUCUUCCCGAGCUGGGCAGUCUAGAGCUGAGUGAAGUUGACUCCGUUCUUGCCGCACUGUAUGUGAGACUUCAGAAGAUCAAGACAGCUAAAGCCGAAAGUCAAAAAGUAUCUAUUACGUGUAUUGUUAUUCAUGACACCACCACUGUCACUUCAAUUUGUUGGUGUUAUGUGCUGUUUGUAGAAAUAGGAAUUCAUUUUUUUCCAUUUAAUAAUAGCUUAAAGAGCUGUGCAAUUUGGUCUGUAUUUAAUGUGUAUUUUGCACUCAUUAUUUGUGAACAGUCUGAGAACUAUUUCUUUUCUAAGAUUCGUGCAUGUACGAACUACUUUUCAUCUAGUAUAUCAUGUUUACUCUGCAUCUAUGGGAUUGAAUUUGAAUAUUUCUUUUAUCAACCAAGUUAUAUUUGGUGGUACUUACUUGAAGGUGCAUAUACUUGGUGCUCAUAAUGUAUUCAUUAAUUUAUAAGUAAAAGGUACUAUUUUUUAUGACAAUAAAUAUUAAUCGAGUUGACUCAGGAUACAUCAGUUUCAACUUGCAAUUUUACCGUUCAUAUUUUACAUAAUGCAUUGCUUAUUCUAAAAUUAUAUCUAAAUCGCUUUAAAAUGUUUUGUACAGAAUAACAUGAGAUACAUGUGCUGAAAAUUAGUAAGUAGAGAAGGAUGAACCUAUUAUACAGCUUCAAUCCAUGCACCACCUGGCCAAUGGACAACCAAUAUUGUGACUAACACUUAUGGGGUCUCAGUAUCAGAAAUUUAUGACUUAAAUUAUUCGGGUGCAUAGGUUAUAAGGUGGGUGUAGGGACUAGAAUUCUCUUCUUUCCAGACAAAUGGAUCGCCAGAGUUCAUUCAUGGAGGAUUUUCCAGAUUUAUUUUCUUUUGGUGGCAACCCUGAAGCCUCUAUUGCUGAGACCUGGACUAACCAAGGAUGAAAUAUCAUCUUUAGGAGGCUUCUAAAUGACGGGGAGGUUGAGAGAGUGGCCAGCUUACUGCAAAGAUUAAAUGAUUUCUCUGGUUUAAAUACUAGCCCUGAUACAAUGAUAGAUGGAGACAUGAUAGGGAUGAAAAUUUUUCAGUGGAAGAUUAUACAGAAGAAAUUUGUCCUCACAAACUGGGAGCAUCUCUGGACCUUGGAAACAAAUAUGGAAAUCUAAUAUCCUACCAAGAUCAAGUGUUUCACAUGUCAAGUAUGUAGAAGAGCAUGCCUAACUCAUGAGAAACUGAAAAAGAGAGGUUUUGAGAUUGUCGCAAGGUGCUUCUUUUGCCAUGAAAAGGAGGAAACAAAUAGUCAUCUGUUUCUUCAUUGUAGAGUGAGUUCUCAGGUGUGGCAUAUGUUUUACAAUCUCCUCCAAAAAUCAUGGGUGAUGCCUGAGCAUACAACAGAUCUUCUAACCUGCUGGAUGAGGAGAGGUGGAGUAAAAAACAGGAAAAAAUGGUGGAGCCUAGUCCCUUCUUGCAUAUGGUGGUCAAUCUGGAAGGAAAGAAAUAAUCGAUGUUUUGAGAAUAUUACUAAUCCAAUGCAAUAUUUUCGGUGUAAAGAAGAGGGUAUAGAUGAGGUAGGACAGCUAGUAGACUUCCUAGGCUCUCUGUAAUUAGGAUUACUUGCAUUGUAAUUUUUUGAUGGUUGACAGUAUACCCGCGUUGCUGAGGAAUACAACUUUACCUUGCUUAAAAAAACAUGUGGAUACUUGCAGGAAGCACAACCAGAUUGACAUAAAACAGUAUAACCAACAAUUCUGUAAUUUAACAAAAUCAAACACAGAGCACCUAAAAAUAGCCACUUGGUUAGCAAGAGCACUUGUAUCUCAUUAUAAUUUUUUUUGAAACAUUAGGCAGAACUACAUUAUUAUCAUAUAAACACAGAUCCCUUGUGUGCUUUUCAUCAUUAAUCUUGUAUAGUGAAAAAGGAGAUAGCUCAAUCUAAUGACUCUUUUUUCCCCUCUACCUUUCAUAACCACUCUUGCUAAACCUUUUUCACUUUAUUUACAAUGUACAUUGUAUUGUAUGUAUCAUUAGGUAUCUAAUCAUUACUUACAUUUUUACACUCUAUAUCUGUCUCGUUAUUAGGGAAAUCUACACUUGGUUUACAAAGUCCAAACAUGAAUUGCUAAUUUAUAAAAGACGAAAUGGCUUGGGAGAUCCUUGUACUUAUUUUGAUUUGUAAACCUAACUACUUAGGUUACAACUGUAAAUGUACUGACUCCAGAUCAGUUUCUGUUGCUUGGGAUAGAACUAUGAGUGGAGGAAAUGGAGGAGUCAUAGUGGAAGAAGAAAGUGGAAUUUCUAAGGCAUAAAGUAGCUCGCGAGGGACUUGAACUUGAUUUCCCUAUGAUCACAAAACAAUAUUUUGUUCAAAACAAUUUGAUGUAAAAAUGUAAAAUGAUGUGGCAAGUUUUAUCUCAGUUCACUUUUUUGAUUUGGAACUCUAGUCGAGCUGAUGGCGAGAUCAAUUCUUUGUUGGAGUUUCAUGAGGAAGGAGAGGAACCACUGAUGCAAGUCUACAUAUCAUAGAGCUGGCAGCGGAGGUGUACAAGUUAGUUAGUGGGUGAUGUCCAAUAGUUAGUUGGUGCCCAUUAGUUAGUUACAAUUCUGUUACAAAAGUCAGUUGAAUGUUCAGGAGUAGUUAGUUGAAUUCAUUAGUGGAUUAGAUCCAUAUAUACCAGGUAAAAGAUUUCAAUUGAUUCAUUAAAUGAUGAUACAUUUCUUUUUCUUCUAAAAUUCUCUCUCUUCUGAUAUCUCGGCUUCCAGUCGUGAAUUAGCAUCUCAGUUCUUCAAGUUCAAAGCUCCUAGAAUUGUUCUUCUUAAUUGAUGCUUAAUUGACUGUCAUUGUGCAUCAACCACCGCCAAAUGGUGCUUUUACAAAAGUAUGGCAGUGUGAUUGAGAGACACAAUGAGUCUGGAGUGGUUUAAAGUAGUGUGUUGGAACCACUAGGUGAUGCCUGAUAAAGUGGACUGGGUUGACAAAUCAGAAUGAAGUACGAGGGUCUUUUAGUCAUUCACUUUUAUUGUGUAGUAUAAAUUAUUGUCUUCCUCUUAAUGGUCCACAAACAGCUAGCUAAAGAAGACUUGUGCAAAAACUUUGAGAAGACUUUGUGAAGGAGCAAACACAACUAUGGCCGAUCCUGUAAUUGGUGCUACAGUUCAAGUUUUGCUUGAAAAACUGCUUUCUCUCACUAUUGAGGAACUCAGUAGCUCAAGGGACUGCAAGAAAGAUCUGGAAAUGCUUACAUAAAAUGUAUCCUUGAUCCAAGCUUUCAUUCAUGAUGCUGAAAGACGACAAGUUGACGAUCAGGCUGUGAAACUAUGGCUCAAGAUGCUUGAGAGAGCUGAUGAAAAUGUGUUUGACGAAUUCAGGUAUGAAUCUAUCAAAAGACAAGUGAAGAUCCGAAACAAACCAAUGAAAAAGGUCAGUGAUUACUUUUCUCAUACAGAUUUUAAGAGCAAAAUGUCACGAAAAAUCAACAACAUCAAUGAAGAGUUGAGGGCUAUCAAUAAGUUAGCCAAAAACCUCGGUCUCCAAUCACUCAUGGUUCCUCUUCAGCAAAUCCUAUCAAUUCGUGAAACAAAUUCCGUAGUAGUUGCUUCGGAGGUUGUUGGUAGAGACAACGAUGUUGCAGAAAUAAAGAGGAAGAUGUUGAACAUGAGAGAUGAUAUUGUUCUGUCCACAGGGGUUUAGGGAAAACAACUGUGGCUAAGAGAAAUUUCAACGAUGAACAGAUCGAGAAACACUUUGAAAAGAGAGUUUGGUUGUGUCUACCUGAAAUGUCAGAAACGAAGAGCUUUCUUCAACUAAUCCUCGAAUCAUUGACAAAGAGGAAAGUUGAGGUCCAAAGCAGAGACAUAAUAGUCAAGAUGCUACAAGAUGAACUGGCAGGAAGAAAGUAAUUGCUUGUCCUGGAUGAUUUGUGGCAUGUUAACUCUACAUUGUGGGUAGAGUUUGUAGAUACUUUGCGAGGAAUGAUUACAUCCCGAGGAAACUUCAUUCUCGUGACUACUCGUAUGGAACAGGUGGCGUCCACAGUAGCAACAGUAGGUCCUCAUAGGUUGGAAAAAUUAGCAAAAGAUCAUUGUUGGUCCAUUUUCAAACAAAGAGCAUUUGUUGAUGGGGAAGUUCCAGAGGAAAUAGUGAUCAUGGAGAACAGGAUUGUUGAAAUGUGUCAAGGUCUACCAUUGGCUGCAAGUGUGUUGGGAGGCCUCUUACGCAACAAGCAAAAACAUGAAUGGCAGGCAAUUCUUGAUGGAAACCCCCUUGUUGCAAGUGAAGAUGAUAACGGAGAAAAUAACAUUAAGAAAAUCCUAAAACUCAGCUAUGAUUAUCUACCAUCUCCACAUCUGAAAAAAUGCUUUGCUUACUUUGCAAUGUUUCCAAAAGAUUUUGAGUUUGAAAAGGACCAACUAAUCCAACUCUGGAUGGCAGAAGGCAUUCUUCAUCCAUGUCAAGAGAUCACUGUAAUGGAAGACAUCGGGUACAAGUUCUUUCAGCUCUUGUUGCGAAAUUCCUUGCUGCAAGAUGUUAAGUUAGAUAAGCACAACAACAUAACACACUGUAAGAUGCACGAUCUUGUGCAUGGUUUGGCUGGGGAUAUCAUAAAAUCUAAACUAUUUGAUCCGAGGAGCGAUGGUGGAGAAAAUCUUUCUCAAGAGCGAUAUUUUGGAUGGGACUCACCAAGUGAUCAAAUAGAUAAGAUAAAAGAGCCAGAAUGUUUGUGCACACUGUUUUGGAGAAGCAAUUAUAUAUCGGAAGAUAUGCUGUUGAGCUUUAAGUUCUUGAGAGUUUUAAAUUUGUCCAGUUCAGGAAUCAAGGAGUUGUCAGCCAAAAUAGGGAAGCUGAUACACUUAAGAUAUCUUGAUCUCUCGGACACUAAGAUCACAGCCUUGCCCCACUCCAUUUGCGAGCUUUAUAAUUUGCAAACAUUUAGAUUCUACAAAUUCGGUUCACUCUUGGCACUUCCAUAUGAGAUGGGAAAUAUGAUAAGUUUGCGACACAUAUACUUCUGUUCUCGGUCUCAGACGCCACUUAACAUGGGACAAUUGACUUGUCUUCAGACCCUACAGUAUUUCAAUGUGGGUUUAGAGAAAGGUCGUCGAAUAGAAGAAUUAGGUCAUUUGAAGAACCUUAGAGGUAAGUUGAGGAUCAAUGGUCUCCAAUUGGUCCGUAAUAGAGAAGAAGCUUGAACAUCAUAUCUACGGGAGAAACUGAAUAUUUACAAGCUGGCAUAUUUAUGGUCCAUGAGGAAUCAAAAGGAUGUGCAAUCAAUGAUCAGCAUGUGUUGGAUGGUCUUCAACCGCAUCCUAACUUGAAAACAUUAGAAGUGAAGAACUACUUGGGUACUAGAUUUUCUUCAUGGUUCAGUGAAGAAUCGCUACCAAAUUUGGUCAAGUUGAAAUUAAGUGGUUGCAAAAGGUGCAUUGAAAUUCCACCGCUUGGCCAACUGAAGUUCCUUCGGCAUCUUGAGCUGAUAGGACUCCUUGAAUUGGAAUUCAUCGGACCUACAUUUUAUGGUGUCGAGGUUAAUGAUAAUGGAUCGUGCAGCAAAAUCCAAGUGUUCCCGUCAUUGAAAGAGCUUCUAUGGGAGAAUAUGCAUAGCCUUAUUGAGUGGAAUUGAUACCAACAACAAGAGGGGUAAGAAUGUUUGCUAAGCUUGAGAAUUUGAGGAUUAGAAACUGUCCAUUGUUAAAAAGUACUCUGAAUCAAUUUGAAAUCCUACGUGAAUUAGAGAUUGCGAGAGUUGACAGUAAAAAUGCCGUUGUUGAACUUGUGCAGCAACUUGACAUCUCUCGUAAAUUUAAGGGUCUAUUUUGUGAAAGAGCUCACUUGUUUACCAGAUGAGAUGCUACGCAACAACGUUUCACUUCAACACCUAUGGGUCUCAGUGUGCGGUGAGUUUCAUGAAUUCCCACAAAGCUUGUAUAAUCUCCGUUCUCUUAAGAGCUUAAUGAUUGACAGCUGCACCAAUUUCAGUUCCUUUCCUGUUCCCAGUGGAGAGAAUUAUUUGACUUCCCUCCAAUGUUUUCAUUUAUACAAUUGUGAUGGAUUGACCAGUUUACCAAGUGGAAUGCUAGAGCAUUGUCCUUCACUUUACAUGUGGGGGAAAUGACUUCACUUUCAUGCUUGGGUUUAUCACUUUGUCCCAACUUGAUUAGUGUACCCGCAGGGAGCCUUCACCUUAUCACUGGGUUACGGCGUUUCGAAAUUGGUCCUUUCUCAGAGAUGGUGGAUUUUGAGGAAUUCCAAUUUGAUAUUUAAUGGCAUUCAGUCUCUUCAUACAUUGGAGGUGUGGGGACACUUGCACUGGGAUUCUCUGCCCUAUCAGCUUAUGUAACUCUCUGAUCUGACAGAGAUCAAAAUAUAUGGAUUCGGAAUUGAGGCUCUUCCUCAUAGAUUUGGAGACCUUACUUCUCUUGAAAGAUUUACUCUAGUGGGGUGCAAACGGCUACAACAUUUGGACUUCUCAGAUGCCAUGCCCAAAUUACGAUAUCUGUGGAUAAGUGAUUGUCCAUUGUUAGAAGCUCUGUCAGAUGCAGGGAUGACAAUUGGGUGGGUUGGGUCAAAUUUGGGCAGAUCAUAAUGAGUUAUAACAACAAUCGGGUCAAAAUCCAACUCAACCGUCAAGACCCAACCCAAUUUUUACUAAAUUUAAUUAUUUUAUUUAUUCUUUAAAAUUAUUUUAGUACCUAAUAAAAUUAUCCUUUUCUUUAUUAUGGCUAUAUAUAACAUAUCUAAUUGAAAAAAAGUUUUUCAAUAAAGUUUUUUUAAAAAUAUUCUGAUAAGUUUUGUCAUGAGCCAAUUUGAGUUACAUAUCAACCCAAUUUUUAAUGGAUUAAACUAAUAAAUGAGCGGGUCAAUAACCCGUCCAAACUUAAAUGGGUUGGCAGGUUGGGUUUGAUUUUGGCACUCCUAGUCGAAUGGGCUCGCAACCUUGUUUCUUUGCAAGAGUCAGUUUUAUCAAAAUGUGAAAAACUAAAGCAUCUACCCUCCAGAGAUCAUGCCAUGUGACACCACACCAAAUUCCGAAACCUGGAAAUUAAAGGCUGCCCUAAGUUAGAAGAAAGUUGCACAAAUCGGAGUGACCCAAACUCCCAAUGGUCCAACAUUGCCCGUAUUCCAAAAAUUAAAGUAGGUGGAAACAUAAUUCAGAACUUGAGUAAGUUUCAGUUUUUGAGUCUCAUUUUUAAUUUUUGUUUUCCACGAGUUACUCUCCUCCGUUAUCCUUCUAUAGUUUUUCAAACAUUUUUUGUUCCACUUGAAACAAAAUUUAUGAAUAUCUAUAUUACAGUUAAGAUAUGGUUUAAUCAUGAAUAUUUAUGUGUGUUUUUUCUCAUUGGUUAUUAGUUUCAAGGUCAUGCUAGAAUGUUGCUGUGGCAUUUCAAGUCAAAAUCCAUGGGCGGCAACUACAUUAGGUAAACUUUCAUUUAGAAUACUGUAACAAGUUUGUCAAGUUUUUCUGUUCACUCUCAUGACACAAUUUUACUGUUUAACAGGGUUGGUUAUGUACGACAAAGGAACCACCACAUUUGUUUUGUUGAAAAACAGAAUCUUCAGCCGUAGACUGUUUCAUGAGCAUUUGGUAAAGACUGCAUAAUCUCUCAACAUUUUACUCUUCUAACAACUAUUAAAUUAAAUUCUACGUCGCUGAUUUUUCCAAGUGAAGCUAUUUUUUUUUAUGUACGGGUAUGUUUUGAUAAAUUAUCUUCUCAGGUACUUUGGUCAAGGUAGAAAAGGUAUCCGUGGAUCGAGCCAUCAAAUUCUGUUCAUGAGCUAUUCAUAAGAUGAAGCUAGAAGGUUACUGUGAUAUAAAGACAAAAUGUAUGUCCAUUGCAAACUGCACCUUACUUCUAUGCACGCCAAGACUUGAAAGCUAUGCGGAAGUAUAAGGUAUGCCCGGGAAUAACUUUGUCAAUUUUACUUUUCAGCUCCUUUUUCUCAUUAAAAUACUGAAACGUUUAAUAGGUAUUAUCGUUCAACAAUUUAGUCUUUCUCUUAAUCCUCUAAUAUUAUUAUACACUUCAUUAUAUGGUAUGAUGGAAGUCAUAAAGUGGUAAAGGAAAUUGUUCGUUCUCUUUGAAGAAAUUGAUUGGCAUAACAUUGUUGGUAUACACAGGAUUCUUAGAUGCAUGACAUAUUUCAUUUUGGAUUCCGUUGAUAGUAGAUUUGACAGCAGAGGCCUUUAAUUUCUUGCACAUAGUGUACAUGCCUUUUCGUACAAAUAGAGUUUUUGAUUCCAGCAAACAUUUUGAACUUAAUUCUUAUCUGCUGCAAGCAUCAUUGCCUAGUUGAUAGCUUCUUUAAUGUAGCUCUGCCUUUUCUCUUGAAGUUUAUCUUUGCCGCAUAAUAAACAAAGAGGAUAGACGGUAUAGAGUCAGGUCCAUCCCAGUUUGAACUCUCAGUCCAUGCUCUAGUUGGGCCUGGGCGUGAAGGGAUUACGUUGUUAGAGUGGGUAAAAGUCCCAUAUUAGUUUGGGAAUGAACUGGUGGUCAAUUUAAUGUUUAUAUAAACUUGGACAAUCAUCCCCUCAUGAGCUAGCUUUUGAGUUGAAUUAGGCCUAAAUGUCGUGCUACAUCAGUGUCGUUAUAUCAAGAAUCUAAUUUUACUUUAAAUUAUCUUCACGAAGAAAACAACUAGAUAAAAUUAAAUGUUAAUUUGGUGAUUUAUCAGCUGAUAAUAAUGAAUUUUAGUUGGCUCAUGCACCUUUUAAUAGAGCGUAAUGAUGAUUUUUUCGUGUUGAAAUAUUCAGAUCCAUGUGAGUAUUAUUGUGGCUUACAUCGCGAAUUAAGAAAGACAAAGAUCAAAUGCUAGCUAGACAUUGUAGAUCUUACAUGCUCAAAUUGGCCAAGGAACAAACGUCACCAACCGAAAUAGAGCAAACAUCUAUGAAAAAAGAUGUGUCUACAUUAUUAUCUGAGGAUAGUAUUGAAUACUUUUAUAUUGAUGUUAAGAAUUUGAUAAUUGUAUUUAUAUUUUUAAUUUAUGAUAUUGUCAUUAAGUUAAGAAAAUCGAUGGAUUUAACUUUAAAUUUAUUAUAUAUUUUAUUUAUUACUCCCUCUGUCCCAAUUUAUGUGACACAUUUUGGAUUUCGAGAUUCAAACAAGUCUAUCUUUGACCGUAAAUUUUCAUAUAUCUUUUAAAUAUUUUGAAUUAUCAAUUAUUGUGACUUAUAGUACUUUUUAUGUAGUUUACAAAUAUAUGAAUUUCAUUUUAAAAAAAUUGAAGAUUUCAAGAGCAAAUUCUCGGUCAAACUUAAACUGUUUGACUCUCGAAAAGCGAAAUGUGUCACAUAAAUUGGGACAGAGGGAGUAGUAUUUAACUGGGAUUCGACGACGGACUUAAAAAAGCCAAAGGGCUUGAUAUAUCCCUCAAUUUUGUCAUAUAGAGCUGAUAUACCCCUCGUUAUAAAAAUAACUCACAUAUACCCCUAACGCUACAAUAAUGGCUUACAUAUACCCCUACCAUUACAAAAGUGGUUCACAUAUACUCCUACCAUUACAAAAGCAAAAAAAUAAUUUUUAAUUUAUUUUUUUAAAAAAAUAAAAAAUCAUGUAUUUAUCUUUUUCACACAUAAAUUAUUUUUUGACUUCUGAUUAUUAUUAUUUGAGUAUUUUUUUUCUUUCAUUCUUUAGUGUAAAAAUAAUAGAUGUGGAAAGAAAGAAGUGUGAAUGAGAAAAGAUUAAAAAGUUAAAAAAGAAUUUAAAAUUAAUUAUUUUGUGGCUAUAUUGUAAUUUAGUUUUUAUAAAUGUAAAAAAAUUAUUUGGGCAUCUAUAAUAAAUUUUUGCAAGAAAAUAAGUGAAAAAUAAAUUUGACGAUCAAAAUAAUAAAUUCAAAUAGGUGGUCUUUCCGAAAAUGUUAAACAAAAGUUUUCCCCUUGCAUCUCGGUCGCUUUAACUUUUUUGUUAUUUUGUAAUCUCCGGUGGCAUGAAACUACUGGGCACAUACCUGACCUUCACUGGAAGUGACAUAAAAAAGACAGUUGAAUCAACAAGAAAGAUGUUGAUGAAAACAUAUUUUAUCCCCUAUCGCACGGAAAGGGAAACCUAUAGUUUGUUUGAUAGGCCCGAAAAUGCUUCUUAUUGGUUCCCUGCCCCCUAUUGAUGUGAAUUAGUAAAUAAAUAAAAAUAGUCAAAAGAAAAAAAACAUGUGAGAAUGAUCAAAUAUAUCCCUAUAUGGAUUAUCUUUUCUUAAUAAAAAAAAAUAAUUUAAUUUUUUUCACUUUCGUUAAUAGAAAAGGAAUAUGUGAGUCAUUUGUGUAACAAUAGGAGUAUAUAUGAGUCACUUUCAUAUAGGGGUAUAUCAUCUCUAAAUAGCAAAAUUAAGGGGUAUAUUAAAGCCCUUUUCCCUAAUAAAAUUGACAAGCAUUAUAUAUACAGAAAUUACACAAAACAUAAAAAGUGCAACAUUUCAUAUUUCAUAGAAAAAAUACGUAGAUUACAUUAGAAUUCACAAAAAGCCAAUUAAAUAGUACGUUAAAACACUACAUGAAAAUAUAUAAUACAUAAAAAGUACCGCAAUUACAACAACAACAACAACAAAAACAUGAUAUAAAAUCAAAAUAAAAAUCUAACCAUUAUGUACAACUUUCAAAAUACAAACAAUAAAUAACAACAAAUCAGUCUCAAACAAAUUGAAUUUUUUCUCAUUUUCAUCGGUUUCUCUCUCGAAACAUCAAUAGUAGGUAGAGUGUCCCUUAGUAAGAUCUAAGAGAUCCCUAUCAUUUUCAACUUUAUUCAAGUUAAAGUUGCAUACUAAACCGCACUUGUUAUUUUUAGUAGUUGUAUUUAUAUUCUUUUUGUCGGAAAAUCAUCUUUCCAACGAAAUUAACCAUAUUCAUCAUUUUCCUACAAAAAUUAACAAACAUAAUUUUACUUUUGAAAACUAAAAUAUUUAAUCUACAUGCUUUUUGCUCUAAAAAGGUAACACAAAAUCUAUCUUACUUUCAGUACUUUACAAUCCUAAAGCUUACGAUCCGUUUUCUAGGGGUCACUAAUAUCUUGAUCCUAUAAUAAUCUCUGCACAUAUAUAUAGAUAUAGGAUUGCAUAAAAAAUAUGGAGAAAGAACAAAAAAUUGAGAAGGAAUGAGAUGAACUAGGAUAGAAAUAUAAUCCGGCCUAAUUUUGACUCAUAUAGUGCACUAAUUUAAUGCUCUAUAUGACUAUGAAAUUUAACUGUUGUUAAGAUUUGAUCCAUUCCUAGUACACUAAUUUAGUGUGCUAAAAAAUAAAUAAAUUCACACAUUACGUUAUAACCACAAACAAUUACAAUAUUAUAAUUUUCAUACUUUUGAUCGAAUUUGUAAUCUUCAUUAACGAACUCCAUCUUUUUUUUCACGUUAUUUAGAUUCCUCCCUCAAAUGGCGGUCCAUAUUUUUCUCUUAUAUAGAAGAGACAGUUUUCAACAUGUAUACUAAAAGUAAUUUAACAAAAGCUAAGGGUUAGUUUAGUCUUUGAGCAUGAACCAGUAAUGAGUCGUUACUCAUUACCGAUGACAAGUAUAUGUCUUGUAGGCUGUAGCCAUUGCACAUCAAUCCUACUUUCUUUUUAGAAAUAUUUCAGAAGAUGCAUAUAUGCAUCAUUUUCUCAAGUUCUCUAUAAUUUGUAUGUGUGUAUUCUUCCUCCCAUAUCUUCCUCAGCACCAAAGAAGAAAUUGGCACUGCAUCUCUUAGGAUUUUACCAUUAUUUUGAUAGGAAAAAAGAGCUAACCUUCUUUAAAAAUGUCUUUUUAAAGGGGUUGCCUAAUUUUCUGGUUGUUUUUAAGCAAAUGAAAUUUAAAUUGAUUUAGCUGCGACUAUAAAAAUAUAAGAGGGGGCUUGUAAAGAAAUGAUUAUGUAGUAUAUGGAUGAUGAACCAAAAAGGUGGGAUCUUGGGUAAGAGAAUGAAAUUUCAUUAUUCUGGAAUUCAUCUUUUAUGCAUUUUCUAAAACCAAUAAACUUGAUCUUUAUUUAUUAAUCAAAAUUGGAUUGGAUUUUGUUUAUAUAUACAUACUAUUAGCUGUAGGUCUAGCUUAGUGUUAGUUUCUUUUAACAAAAUUCAUCAAAGGUUGAAGUAGCUAUUUUUAAAGAAAUUUUCGUUUUAUUUUUUAUUUGAAAAAUAUAAUAUUGUAACUUUAACAUUUAAACUGGCUGAACUAAGUUUAAAUUUAGGGACGGCAUGUCCUCCAUCCAACAAGGGGCUAUGCCAAUUUAGACUAUCAAGUUGAAAUUUUGUAUUUGUUGCAAGCAACUAGAUUGAUAAGUCACUUUUGACAAAAUUCAAAUUAUCGAAUUGAAAGAGUAUAGAUUUUGUGUUUGGUAAAUAUACUAUGAUAUUAGAUAUUGGUGUAAAUCUCAUGUGGUUGAACAAUGAACACACUUAAAAGUGAUGCGUUUUUUUAUUUUUUGAAGAUGGUAAAAUCUAUAUUUAUUGGUUUGGAUUUUUUAUUUCUCCGUCUUUAUGUAGACAACUUUGGCAUGAUAACAUUGAAUGAGUGCACACAAAUGUGUUCAGUGAUAGUGCAUCAAAAUUUUAGAGAUCUCCCUUUAAAUUAUCAGCUUAUUACAUACUUUAUCAAACUUUUUCAUGCUUUUAACUUCUGAGUUAUCUCUGCAGAUUCUAUUUGACAAUUUUAUCUACAAAUAAAGAUGGGAAAAUUACAUCACUAAUAUAUGAUGUCUAAAUAGUAUGAGUUGUAGAUAGUUUUGUUGUAUAUACAAUGUAAGGGAAUAAAGGAUAUGUACUUCAAAAACAUUUACCACUACAUGUUAUUCCAAAAUGUGAAUAGAACCUUAUUGUUUUGCCAAAAUUGUUCAAAUCUUUAUAGUAUUGGGCCCGUGCUAACACGGGCCAUAUUUCUCUAUAUAUAUAUAUACUAGAAGGGAGAGCAAGUGCAUCGCACGGGUCCAACAUGACUAAUUUGAUUGCACUGCUGCAAUUUUCACGCUCUGGGUUCUAAUUGAUUUUGGCCGGAUUCUCCUUUAGUGGCAGAAGAGGAUUAAACUAGCUUAAAAUGUUUUAGAUGUUAUUUUAUUAAUUUUAUCCAACUUGGAUAAAAUUGGUAAUAAAGAGUGUUGCAAUUUUUCUAUUGAUUGAAUUGUAGCAACAUAUACAAAUUAAAGAUAUCCUAAGUAUCCUGACUAUAAGUUGAGAAAGUAAACACAAAUUUAAAAGAAAAUCAAAUUAUUUGUGAAGUGUUUUACACAAAUAAUUGUGAAUAACUUAUGUCUAGCAGGUGAACAAUAAUUUCUUCAACUAAUGAACUAAGCCUAUGAACUGACGCAUCCUGUUCAACCUUUCCAACAAAGCUAUCAGCUGUCUCGUAAUUCUCAAAAAAGACUCUUAAGACUCCAACUUUCAUAAUUAACAAUUCAAUCUCUUUAUGAAGAUCAAUCAUUUAUAUUUGUGGAUAAGAGUGACAUUGUAACUCCCUCCAUUUGCUUUUGAUUUUUGAAUGAUGAGACAAAGGAAUUAAGAGGAGAAAAGGGAAAUGAAGACUUUAUGAACAUGGCUUAUAAGUUAGAGGUGGUUCAAAUCAUUUAUCUUUGUUGAAACAUGUGGAUUAUGUAUUUAUGCAUGUUGAGCAUCAUCUUGCGGAGGAUCAUUGCAGACAAUACAUAAAGAGAUUGAAUUGUUAAUUAUGAAAGUUGGAGUCUUAAGAGUCUUUUUUGAGAAUUACGAGACAGCUGAUAGCUUUGUUGGAAAGGUUGAACAGGAUGCGUCAGUUCAUAGGCUUAGUUCAUUAGUUGAAGAAAUUAUUGUUCACCUGCUAGACAUAAGUUAUUCACAAUUAUUUGUGUAAAACACUUCACAAAUAAUUUGAUUUUCUUUUAAAUUUGUGUUUACUUUCUCAACUUAUAGUCAGGAUACUUAGGAUAUCUUUAAUUUGUAUAUGUUGCUACAAUUCAAUCAAUAGAAAAAUUGCAACACUCUUUAUUACCAAUUUUAUCCAAGUUGGAUAAAAUUAAUAAAAUAACAUCUAAAACAUUUUAAGCUAGUUUAAUCCUCUUCUGCCACUAAAGGAGAAUCCGGCCAAAAUCAAUUAGAACCCAGAGCGUGAAAAUUGCAGCAGUGUAUAGUGACAAUUCAUGUGAUUAUCUAGUCUAGUUGUGUGAGGUUAAGGAAGAGAGAAAACCAAGAAACUCAAGUUGGCAACUAUAACCUGAUAAAUGAAAUGACUAACACAUGGAAGAAACCAUUAUAUAUCUUCUCAUCUAAGUUGCUCGGACUAUCCAAAAAUGUUGCUGUCGCACUCGUGUCAGACACUAUCCGACAUGCACCCGUCGAUAUUUUUGAAGAGUCGGGGCAAAUAUAGCUUCUCAUAUCCCCUGAGCAACUUUCAAGACUACAAAUUUAAUAUAGAAUCGGAAAAAGACAACACUUGUAGGACCAAAAGAACAAUGGUUAAGUUGCAAUAUGAUCCUUAGCAUUUACCUUGAGAAAAGGUCAUCGUAAAAGUACAUUGUCAAUCUGUGCAGGAAAUCAUACAAUAGAAUCGUUAUAAGCUACAUAAAAAAUUAUAUUUAUACACAUUCUCUGAUCUAUUCUGAAAUAUAACACAUGAACACACUUCAUGAAGCUACAUCGCUUUACCAGUAAAUCUAAAACAUUAAAGUGACUAAAAUCUUUCAUAACCAACAUAACGAUCCACCCUAGUUCUUAAUGGUUGAUCGAUCACUUCAAAAUAAUUUGUAUUCGAGAUCAAGUUAUUCAUAUCAAUAAGCUCAUAAUAUAAAUAAAAUUAUCAUCUCAAGAAUUAAUUAAAUCUGUCAGGACAUGACAGAUAUAUAGCACCGUUUGUUAAUACCAAAUAAAUUGUUUCUCUUGUCUCUUUGACAAAUUAAUUUCUUUGUCUGUCACUUGUUGUCUAUUCUUAUCGGCAGAUUGUCCUUUGUAAGUAGGUAAGAUAAAUACCGGCUAUGGCAUUCAAGUAACGAAGUGGAAAAGAUGGUAGAAGUGGGGAGUGGAUCGAUGACGGUUUGAUCAUCAUCAUUAUUCAUAGAGGUUGAGGAAUAAAAACAGAAAAUAUGCAAAAAAAUAUAGAAUAAUUAAAAUAUUAGAUUGACAAGCUAUACCAAAUAAAUAUGCAUUAUUUUUUACCAAUAAAUAAAUAAAUAUGUAUGGUACAAAUCUUGAUUUAUGAGUUUCAUUGUACAAUUCUUGAUCUGCAAGAAGUGUAUAUUACUCUUGAAAAUCAAUAUCCAAUGGUAACUUUUUUUGUUCAUUUAUUCGAAAAAGUGGUUUUGAUAUCUUUCAACAACAUAUUCAAUAAUUUUUUAUUUUUUUCUCAUUUUCCAAAAUUUGUGCAGUCCUCUUCUCCUGUUGGCUUUAGAGUUUUACACUACUCUUUGUUCAUCUUUGGCUGAGAAAAAAAAUCAACACGAGAAAUGGCAGCCAAAGUAGCAAAGAGGAAAGUAAAAUUGUAGAUAUAGCUAAUAUGAUACACGUGGGUCGACGUGUUUAUAGGAAAAGACCAUAAAGCUCAAUUAACAAUGAAAUGGAGCCCACUUGUACAGUACGAAUUAAAUUGCUCUUCGUACAACCAAUUAGUGCUGGUGUUCAAUUUGGACAGCUUUCGGUACAAAUUUUUAAUGUUGUGUUCGUCCCAACAACUGUCAUUUAUAAAUAUUGGUAAGGUAAUAUAGUUGAUUUCAUAUCUUAUGUCUUGAUUGUGUGAUAAAGGUAUGGUUAUUAAAAGAUACCGUUGGUGCCUCAUAUUUUAAUUAUUAUUUUUUUCCGUUUAUAAUAUCUUCAAAAAUAUUUAAAUAUAUUAUAUUAUGCUUAGGAAAAUAUUAUUAUAAAAAAACUUAUUAUAUUUUGUAAACAAUUUUGUUUUUGGUGGGCAACUUCUCUAGAAUGAUAGUGCAAACGACCGCCUAAGUUAUUAUUGAUUUCAAUUAAAAUAGUUAAAACUCUAUUAUUAUAGAUACCUAAAGUUUUAUGGUUUUUUUGUUACAAUAUAAUCGUUAACUUUGCAUUUGAAAACAACAAGUCAGGAUGGCCGAGUGGUCUAAGGCGCCAGACUCAAGUUCUGGUCUUCGUAAGAGGGCGUGGGUUCAAAUCCCACUUCUGACAUUUUUUUUCUUCUUUUUAUGCUGUGUGACUCGUUUUGCAAUGUUAAUUAAAUCUCAAAAACUAUUUUAAUUUAUGUUGUGUGACUCAUUUAAAUAAAAACUUCAGAAAAAAAAUAGAUUCAACUUUUUUUAUUCUUUUAAAAUAAAAGUAGUGUUCCGAUAAGUUUGAUUUUUGUUUUGACUAUUAAAUUGGAUAUUUAUCGUAUCCUAUUAGUAAAGGUACUGUUCAAGAAAAAAAAUAGAUUCAACUUUUUUUUUCUUUUUAAAAUAAAAGUAGUGUUCCAAUAAGCUUGAUUUUUGUUUUGACUAUUAAAUUGGAUAUUUAUCGUAUCCUAUUAAUAAGGGUACUGUUCAUGAUUUGAUUAAAUUUUUUAUUUCAAAUUGAAACUGAACCAAAUCAAUUAAAUUAAUCAAUAUUCUUAAGAUUUGAUUCUAAAUUUUUUAGAAUUGAUACUAUUUGACUUGAAAUUGAUUUUAGUAAAUAAAAAUUGAUAUAUAUAUAACGAGUUUAUUUUUUAUGAAUAAUUUAAAACAUCAUACAUUUGCAUUAUUUAUUUAAAUAUUGGCUUGUAAUUACAGAGAUAAGGAUAUUUAGGUGGAUGUGUGUGCAAUCUAGGAGAUAGGAGAUAUAAAAUUAGGAAUGAAGAUGUUCGCAACAAGGUUUGAGUGGUUUUCGUGGUGUACAAGUUGAGCAAAGUAUGAAUGAGAUGGUUUAGGCAUGUGGAGAGGAGAAAUGUAGAUACCCCUACGAGCUAGGAAGUGCAAGAGGUUGACAAUAACGGAUAUCAUGAGAGGUAAAGGUAGACCAAAGAAGUAUUGGUGAAGGUGAUUAAAAAAAAUGAUACAUCUUGAGCUUACCAUGGACAUGACGUUGGAUAGGAGCUAGGGUUCAGAUGUCGCAAUUUAGGGUAGAAGAUUAGUUGGUAGUUGAACAUUCUCUCGUUUUCUUAUGGAAUAGACUUGAUGCUCCUAUUUGGGCAUUCUUUCUUAUUCGCGGUAUUAGCACUAUCCCCGUAGUCCUUGUUAUUCAGUUUCGAUUAUCACCUGUGGUUGGUGUGUGCGUAUUUUGAUUAUCACAUUAUUUUGUUGUCUUAUUGUUCUUUCCUUUGUACAUUAUAUAUUUCUCUUCAUUUCAGAUUAUUUCGUUAUUGCUACUACUCUCAUUCAUGCAUUUCAUUUUCCUAACUGCUUGGAUAUGUUUAUCAUAAGUCGGAGGUUUAUUAAAAAGAAACUCUCAAUUUCUUCGAGGUGGAGGUAAUAUCUGCGUUUACUUUAUCCUCUCCAAAUUAAUUUCACUUAUGAUAUUACAUUGAAUUUGGUGGUGAAAUUUUAUUUGUGAGAUUACACUGAUAUUUUGAUUAUUUUUUAUUAUUUUAGUUAGAAAUUGUUAGUUUUGAUGCCAUUAUUUGGCAAGAUAAUUUCCCCAUACUAAUUAUACAACAACUUAUUUCAAAAUAAAUAAGCAAAAAAGAUAAAGUUAGUGCUAAAUUUAGGGGUUGUUUAGUUUGAAGAGAUGGAAUAAGUUAUGCUGAUAUAACUUAUAAGUUAUGAUGAGAUUAGUUAUGCUAAAAUUAUAUUUAUAGGCUGUUUGGUUAGUCAUAUUCAAAUAACAUGCAUGACGUGAUUUCUAAGAAUAAGUUGUGUGUUUACAAAAAUACCCUCCCUUUUAUUUAGUUUGUUAUACUUUCUUUACAAGCUUUAGUUAAUCACUCUUAAAAUUAAAAUUCUCAUCUUAUUUAACUUAAAUAUUUUUGUGUGUGCAUUCUCAUAAUUAUGCCGUAUGUUUUUAAAUAUAAAACAUCUAUCUCAUUUAGUUUAAAAAUAAAAUUUUAAUCUUAGAUUUGCUAGAGUGAAAAAGAUUUUAUUGUUGAUGUCACUUUAUUUAAGCACAUAUCACUCGUAUAUUAUAAAACAUCAAGAUUAUCUUCAUUUUAAUUGAUAUAAAAAAUACAAAUUUUCAAGUGAUGAUAAGACUAUUUAGUUAAAAAACUAUGUGAUUCAAUAGUGAAGUGAACAUUUUAAGAGAAAUCAAAAUAUAAAUAAACAUAAGAACUAGUCAAAUAAAUUCAACGUAUAAUAUAUUCAUAAACAAAAAAUAUGUUUAUAUAGCAUAUUUUUUUAAUGAAAAAAAUAUAUAAUCAUAAAAAUAACGCAUAGUAAAGAUUGUGAAUAUCACUAUAAAUGAUACUAAAAAUUAUUUGAACAUACACAUAUGUUAAAAUGAUGCAUAAAAGAGGGUUUGAAAUGAUAUUCUUGUUAUCUUACAUUUUUAUUAUCUUAAUAUUAAUAUUCCAUCCACUAAUAAAAAUAACUAUCGCACGUUUUGCGACCAAACAAAAAAUUAGGGAUUUUGAAAACUUUAUGGAAUUAUUUUUUCUUAUCCAUCACGCCAAAGUCCAAACGGGUUAGUUGAAAGACAAUCUAGGCACCAAACGACCCAUUCAGGUUCCUAAUAGGCGUGUGCGCACAUUCGAUGCAGCUCUCUCGUCAUCACAAAACUGAUACUCACAAGCUCAGGGUUUGUGAAUUCUAGGGCUUCUAAAGGAGAUCUAGAAGCUUCUUUCUCAGAUCCCAAUUUUCCUCAAUUUGCAGUCGAAAAUGGCGCCUCUUCCAGCACCAUACUCAGGAACCAGCACUCUUGCUCUGGUAAUCUUUUGUCUUCUACACUUCGAUCCGUUUACGACUACUUCACUGUACAUCUGAAUAAAAAUCUCCUUUAUUAAAAUGAAUUUUUUGAUCUUAAACUAUUUUGGUUGUGGUUGUUGGCGGCAGGUGGCGCGCGCAUCAGCAUUUACCUUUGGACUCGCUUAUGGAAGCGUUAAGCUCAAGUAUCUCAGGGUAUUUUCCUCCCCUUUUGAAUUUUUUUAUUUUUGAUAAGUGAUUACGUAGGGUACUGAAAUGAAAUGGGACUGAAUAAAGCGAGAUUGAUAUAGAUGAUUUGUGUAGACUAUACUGAGAUUGAAGCAUAGCUGGUUAACCGAAUACAGAUUUUGCACGGGGUUUAGUUCAUCAGAUCAUUUACUUGAAGUUCCUUAAAUGUUAUGAUUCACUUUUAGUUUCGCGGAGCAGACAUUUAGUGCCUCAUGUAAAAUGAAAUGAGCAUGUGUGUAAUGCAGAACAGACAUAGUUGGUUUAAGUAGCCAACCUAGACAGUUUAGGAUUUGCAAUGUUGGUUGAUUGAUAGACUUUGAAUUGAAACCUGGCAUUUAAGAGUUUCUUUUAAAAUUAAAUGGGCUGAUGGAUGGAGCAGAGCAGAUAGGUAAGAUUCAUAUAGCCAACCCGACCAGUCUCGAAUUGAGGCAUAGUUGGUUAAUCGAUUAUUCUGGAAGUUUCAACCUGCACUGUUUUCUUUUCUUUUAUUGGAUAUGAUGUUAUGUUUUCUGUUCCAGAUAUGAUAACAAGCCCCGUUGAAAUAAUUCCUAAGUAGAUGAGUGGAUCAAUUGCUAGGUAUUAUUGUUCAUGAGGUGACUAGUAAGACAAGAUUAACUUUCUAAAGUGAAAUUACAUAUCGAAAUGUAGAACCUGAAUGUUUUUCUAAAGAACUUGAUGGAAUAAGUAUGAACUUGAGGACUGAUUGCUAGUCUUUCUACUUUGACUUUGCUGCGAAGAUUUUAGCCAAAAUGAUCCUCCAACUUAUGCCUCAAGUCUCACAUAGUUGAUCAGUAAAAAUGACCCGAAUAAUCCUUCGACUUGCUAGGCUCGUGACCAAAAUUGUCAAACUUUAACUGGGUUCAGCAAGACAAUAACUAGAGAAACGCUACUCACAUGGCUGCUUAAGUAAAUGUUGGUAUUACUAAGAAAAAUAUUCAUUGGAAGCCACUUCUUUCCCCAAUCUUGUUUUGAAGCAUCAGAUCUCUAGAUUUUCAGACACAAGAUUGGUGGAAGCAGUCAUCUGCGCUUUAUCAUCCAUUUCCUGAGUAGAGUAAUCUCUACUCUCUUGUCUUCUCUUUUUGUAUUUUUAACCAAUACACAUCUCUUUGUUUUUGGCAUGCCUAACUUAGCCAAAACACAAUUUCGAUGAAUACAAUCCAAGUUCUUAAUAUCUUAAAACUUUAAUUGCGCAAUAAGAACAAUGCCUCAGUCUCGAACAAGUUGGGUUAGGUAUAUAAAUCUUCACUCACCAUUAUUUAAACACAUCUAAGGCCAUUAUUAUAUAAAAUAGAAAUAACAAUAAAAAUAGUUUCUUUUUUUAAAAAGGAACAAUAGUAAAAAUAAAAGUACAUAUGAGAUGUUUGUUGUAAUUACUAUUGAUGUAUAAAUCUCUGAAAGGUUAAACAACUUCCAAAAAGAUAGGAUAUAAAAUGGAAGUGCUAACUUUGGCUAAAAUAUAUUCUCAACUUAUAGGUGCUAAAUCUCUGAAAGGCUAAGUAACUCCUAGUCUCCUAGAAAAAAUAGGACGUAAAAUAAAAGAUAUAACACAACUAAAUCAUAUUUUCAACUAAUAGGUAUCUUUUAUUAGAACCCUUCAGGGUGGCCCAGUGGUGGUUUGAGCUUGAGACUUCCAUAUUGGAGGUCUCAAGUUCGAAACCCCUUGCCAGCGAAAGCAAGGGGUUUGCCUUCUGGGUGGAGCUUGUCGCACCGGAUUUGCCUAGUGUGGGUUUCCUCCCCUGUGUAGUUUGCGAGCUAUUGUAUAGGAGCGAGGGUUUUACCCUGUGCACACCCAAAGGGUAGCGGCUGCAGGUUUCCCUUGUCAUCAAAUUAAAAAAAGAAGAUAUCUUUUAUUAGAUCUUUUUCUUCCAUUGUUUGUUGACUUUGCAUGGCCAAGAAAUUGUAGAUCCUUCGAGACAACUUCCUUUCAAGUGAUUUUUGGUCUACCUUGUCCCUUGUAACAUCCUCACUUACCAUGGUUUCAUAUCUAUGGAUCGGGGCAUCAGGCAGUCAACAUAACAUGAUUAUACCAUCUCAAACAACUCUCUCAUUUCAUCCUCGAUUUAUUACUUGGGUGUGGGUGCUAAGAUGAGUGUCGCAGAGAUGUGGGUGCUAAGAUGGACGUGCGGUUAUACAAGACUAAACAAGAUUAAGAAUGACUAAUCUUGGUGCUCUCUGAUUUUUGUUUAUUUUUCAAUGAAUGCUUGUCACCUUAAAUGAGAUGGAUCUAUUUGGGUUAGGUGAUCUCCUCCUCCUCCUUCAUAGUGGAGGGGUGCUUUAUCUGAGGGUUGUUCCCAAAUUUGUAAAUGGAUAAUAUGUUGUUAAUUCCACCUAGAAAUUCACAAAAGUGGUGCAUUGUGAGGAUAUCAUUGUUAUAUUGGAAGUUCCUGCGCUACUUAUCCUUGUAGCAACUGUUACAAUAUAUUAUUUUCUUUUUUUCUAUAGAGAUGUUUGUAAUGAUAGUUAAUUCUAGCUGAUUUACUUUUUUAAAUCAGAGUAAUUGUGACACUUUUUCCCCUCUAUGCUCUUUUCUAGGCAAAGGCCAAGUCUCAAAAGAAGGCGGAAGCUAAGGCACAUCACUGAAAGAUAACUCAUGGUGGAUUUGCUCUUUGCUGAUAGAAUAAGAUGUGGCUGAUUAAACUGUAUCACGUUUCACCUGAUGCUUAUACGAUAAUUAGAUUCUGACUUGUAGCUGUUCAAUAUUGUGGUCUUUAAUGGUUCAGUGGUUUCUACACGAUCAAAUAUUAUAUUUGAAGUAAUGAGUCCUCUCAUUAAAACUCGAAUAACUAUAGUUAAAUCUGCCUCUAUAUAGUGAUUUAUAGUUUCAACAGGAAGUAGUGACAAAAGUUGGCCUAAGGAAAAAAGGAGGAUCCCAAGCAUAAGAGAAGUUGACAGUAUUCUUUCCUGGUAUGAUAUUGCCAUUGUUGACACUACAUUCAUUGUUUCCCAAAGGCUUGAAAAUAGUUGGAUCCACUGGCUCUGUUGUCUGAAAAUCAUUGCAAGACAAUACCAAUUUUUGCAUGGGGCAAUCACAAUUGUUCACCACAACCACAUUCCAUUCUGGCUUUCCCUUUAUUUCUACACCACUCCUUAUUGUUCCAACUGUUAUAUUGUUCAAACCACAACUACAAACACCUACACAAAUAAACAAAAAGAUAUAAUGAGGAAACAUUCAAUUUUUAUUUUUGUUAAAUAACUUACAUGCCUUAUUUAUAUAUUUCAUACAUUGGUUGGUUAAUCGAGUAAUUUAUAUAAAUAUAUAAAAUACACCGAUAAAUCGAUUCUAUCCCUGAUUGAAUAGGAGGCAAACACUUGUGAAAAGAUCGCUUGAAUUUAAGAAAAGCUCGAGUUCCUUCUCUUCUUUCUUUUUAGAUUAGAAUGAUGACAUUAUUUUUUACUUUAGAAUGGAGAAGGGGAGAGGCCAACUUAUUUUGCUUUUUUUACUCCUUGGUAGAAAGGGUUUUUUUUUUUGUUAAUACAACUCACUUUUAUUAUAAAAAAUACAUCUCAAGUGUCAUCUAAGCGAAAAGUUUUGUGUGUUUGUACUCCACAUCCGUGAAGCACUUCACUCAAUCAAGAAGAUAUAUAAAAUUAUUAGUUUUUAGGUGUUGAAUGAAAGAGGCAUGCAAUCAAUUCCAAUUAAAUCAUGGUAAUUUUAACGAUAAAAAUCAGGUCUAAAGAAAUUGAAUUAUCCCACUAUAAUGUUACCUUCUUCCUAUCCUAAAUAACUACUAGUCGUUUAAAAAUUGUAUCAAAAUAUUUGGUAUUUUAAAGAAAUAAUAGGUCAGUUAAUGAUUUAGCGUGAGGUCUACAAGUACUUGUUUUUGUAUUUAAUUAUCUAAACGGACACAAUUGGCCGGCCAAAGGGAAUUGAAUAUGAACAUUCAAAUGAAAGAUUUUUUUACCAUGAAUAAAAGAAAACUUGAAAUCCACAUUAAAAAAAACAUGGAUAUUCCAUCUUGACAAAAUCAAUGAACAUAUUAUUGUGUAAAAUUAUUACUUUUACAUGAUUAUGGUAUCUGGGUUAGCUUUCAUGCAUCUCAAUUAAUUUCAUAUGAUAUAUGUAAUCUGUCAUGACCUCUCACCUACAACAAGUAUCAAUUAUCAGAAGACUCCGUUCAUUAAAGAUAAGACAGAUGAGAAGGAUCAUGACCUAGUAUUUUUAUUUCCGCUGAAAUAUAAACUUGAAACGUGAUGAUUCUUAACAACUUUAUAACCACUACAUCACAACACCCUUGGUUGCAGUGUAAAUUAUUUGGGGAAAACGAUUCAUCUUGAUUUGAUUUUUUUGUUUGGGUCAAUUUAGACCAAGUUAAAAAAUAACAAAAUAUAAAGUAGAAAUAGUCUAAACAAAUGAUGACACAUAACCUAUUAGCCAAAUGAAUAUUGAAAUUUUGGAAUCUAUAGAUCCAACAAAAACAAUUUAUUCAUAAACUAAUAAAUCUUUUUAUUAUUAAUCACUAAAGUUUUCUUCUAUUUCCUUACACCACAAAAAAAAAAAGAAAAAAAAAAAAAA